RNAcentral lists this ribosomal RNA (415 nucleotides) under uncultured bacterium. Its description in RNAcentral is "bacterial SSU rRNA". It matches the Rfam family "Bacterial small subunit ribosomal RNA", at positions 356 to 773 of the family's 1533-position model. The record is from RNAcentral.
GGGGAAUAUUGCACAAUGGGCGCAAGCCUGAUGCAGCGACGCCGCGUGAGGGAUGACGGCCUUCGGGUUGUAAACCUCUUUCGGCGCGGAAGAAGCCGCCCUUCGGGGUGGUGACGGUACGCGCGGAAGAAGCGCCGGCUAACUACGUGCCAGCAGCCGCGGUAAUACGUAGGGCGCGAGCGUUGUCCGGAAUUAUUGGGCGUAAAGAGCUCGUAGGCGGCCUGCCGCGUCCGCUGUGAAAGCCCGGGGCUCAACCCCGGGUCGGCAGUGGGUACGGGCAGGCUGGAGUGCAGUAGGGGAGACCGGAAUUCCUGGUGUAGCGGUGAAAUGCGCAGAUAUCAGGAGGAACACCGAUGGCGAAGGCAGGUCUCUGGGCUGUUACUGACGCUGAGGAGCGAAAGCAUGGGGAGCGAAC